ACAUCUGUUCUACACUGAUGCCCUUGGUGGUCAAAAACAUUUGCAUAAUAAAUGACAUUAUUAUUAAUUGUACAAUAAUUAAAUCAUGUUAUAGUAGAUCAUCAUUUUACACUCCGUAUUUUUAAACCAUGCACAGACACAUGCAGGCACCAGAUACAUGCUCUUUCAUUUUUUUGUCUUUUGCUAAUGAAUAGGUACGAUAUAUUGUAGAUUACAGUACAAACUAGAUUGCAUUUCCUGCAGAAACUGCGAGUGUGAUUGCAGUGCUAGCUGGUAUCUGUGGACGUUGCUAUGGUGUUGCUAAGGUGUUGCUAGGUGGGCUUUAUCCAAUAGCUUCUCCAUACAUCAAAAAUUGCAUCGUACACGGGCGGCAAAAUUCUCCCCAUUCAUUUUCAGUGGGCAAAAAAACCCGCACAUUUCCGAAGUUUUUUACAAAAAGUCCGAUCGGAAAGCUGUAUACAAGCACACCAUUCCCGAUAAGGAUGCACAUUUUAUCAUUGGGACAGAGUCGAUAUCUCAAAAAACUUCCAACCGGACAAAAACGGGUGCAAUAAUAGUAAUAACUAGAUUGCAGUUCCUGCAGAAACUGCGGGUGUGAUUGCCGUGCUGGCUGGUAUCUGUGGUGGUUGCUAAGUGGUUGCUAAGGUGUUACUAUGGUAUCUGGGGUGGUUGCUAAGGCGUUGCUAGGCGGUUGCUAAGGUGUUGCUAUGGUAUCCGGGGUGGUUGCUAGGUGGUUGCUAAGUUGUUGCUAGGCGGUUGCUAAGCUGUUGCUAUGGUAUCUGGGGUGGUUGCUAAGGUGUUGCUAGGUGGUUGCUAGGGUGUUGCUAGGCGGUUGCUAAGGUGUUGCUAUGGUAUCCGGGGUGGUUGCUAAGGUGUUGCUAGGCGGUUGCUAAGGUGUUGCUAUGGUAUCUGGGGUGGUUGCUAAGGUGUUGCUAGGUGGUUGCUAAGGUGUUGCUAGGUGGUUGCUAAGGUGUUGCUAUGGUAUCCGGGGUGGUUGCUAAGGUGGUUGCUAAGGUGUUGCUAGGCGGUUGCUAAGGUGUUGCUAUGGUAUCCGGGGUUGUUGCUAAGGUGUUGCUAGGUGGUUGCUAAGGUGUUGCUAGGUGGUUGCUAAGGUGUUGCUAUGGUAUCCGGGGUGGUUGCUAUGGUGUUGCUAAGUGGUUGGUAGGUCACUCCUAAGCAGUUGCUAGGUGGUUGCUAAGGUGUUGCUAUGGUAUCCGUGGUGGUUGCUAAGGUGUUGCUAGGGUGUUGCUAGGCGGUUGCUAAGGUGUUGUUAUGGUAUCCGUGGUGGUUGCUAAGGUGUUGCUAAGUGGUUGCUAAGAUGUUGCUAGGUGGUUGCUAAGGUGUUGCUAGGUGGUUGCUAGGCUGUUGCUAUGGUAUCCGGGGUGGUUGCUAAGGGGUUGCUAGAUGGUUGCUAGGUGGUUGCUAAGGUGUUGCUAGGCGGUUGCUAAGGUGUUGCAAUGGUAUCCGGGGUGGUUGCUACGGUGUUGCUAGGUGGUUGCUAAGUUGUUGCUAUGCGGUUGCUAAGGUGUUGCUAUGGUAUCUGGGGUGGUUGCUAAGGUGUUGCUAGGUGGUUGCUAGGGUGUUGCUUGGUGGUUGCUAAGAUGUUGCUGUGGUAUCCGGGGUGGUUGCUAAGGUGUUGCUAGGUGGUUGCUAAGGUGUUACUAUGGUAUCUGGGGUGGUUGCUAAGGUGUUGCUAGGUGGUUGCUAGGGUGUUGCUAGGCGGUUGCUAAGGUGUUGCUAUGGUAUCCGGGGUGGUUGCUAAGGUGUUGCUAGGUGGUUGCUAGGUGGUUGCUAGGGUGUUGCUAGGCGGUUGCUAAGGUGUUGCUAUGAUAUCCGGGGUGGUUGCUAAGGUGUUGCUAUGGUAUCCGGGGUGGUUGCUAAGGUGUUGCUAGGUGGUUGCUAAGGUGUUGCUAGGUGGUUGCUAGGGUGUUGCUAUGGUAUCCGGGGUGGUUGCUAAGGGGUUGCUAGAUGGUUGCUAGGUGGUUGCUAAGGUGUUGCUAGGCGGUUGCUAAGGUGUUGCAAUGGUAUCCGGGGUGGUUGCUACGGUGUUGCUAGGUGGUUGCUAAGUUGUUGCUAGGCGGUUGCUAAGGUGUUGCUAUGGUAUCUGGGGUGGUUGCUAAGGUGUUGCUAGGUGGUUGCUAGGGUGUUGCUUGGUGGUUGCUAAGAUGUUGCUGUGGUAUCCGGGGUGGUUGCUAAGGUGUUGCUAGGUGGUUGCUAAGGUGUUACUAUGGUAUCUGGGGUGGUUGCUAAGGUGUUGCUAGGUGGUUGCUAGGGUGUUGCUAGGCGGUUGCUAAGGUGUUGCUAUGGUAUCCGGGGUGGUUGCUAAGGUGUUGCUAGGUGGUUGCUAGGUGGUUGCUAGGGUGUUGCUAGGCGGUUGCUAAGGUGUUGCUAUGAUAUCCGGGGUGGUUGCUAAGGUGUUGCUAUGGUAUCCGGGGUGGUUGCUAAGGUGUUGCUAGGUGGUUGCUAAGGUGUUGCUAGGUGGUUGCUAGGGUGUUGCUAUGGUAUCCGGGGUGGUUGCUAAGGUGUUGCUAGGUGGUUGCUAAGGUGUUGCUAUGGUAUCCGGGGUGGUUGCUAAGGUGUUGCUAGGUGGUUGCUAAGGUGUUGCUAGGUGGUCGCUAAGGUGUUGCUAUGGUAUCCGGGGUGGUUGCUAAGGUGUUGCUAGGUGGUUGCUAGGGUGUUGCUAGGCGGUUGCUAAGGUGUUGCUAUGGUAUCCGGGGUGGUUGCUAAGGUGUUGCUAGGUGGUUGCUUGGGUGUUGCUAUGGUAUCCGGGGUGGUUGCUAAGGUGUUGCUAGGUAGUUGCUAGGUGGUUGCUAAGGUGUUGCUAGGCGGUUGCUAAGGUGUUGCUAUGGUAUCCGGGGUGGUUGCUAAGGUGUUGCUGGGUGGUUGCUAAGGUGUUGCUAGGCGGUUGCUAAGGUGUUGCUAUGGUAUCCGGGGUGGUUGCUAAGAUGUUGCUAGGUGGUUGCUAAGUUGUUGCUAGGCGGUUGCUAAGGUGUUGCUAUGGUAUCCGGGGUGGUUGCUAAGGUGUUGCUAGGUGGUUGCUAGGUGGUUGUAUACAAGCCCACCAUUUCCGAUAAGGACGCACGUUUUGUCUUUUGA
Molecule: long non-coding RNA, 3096 nt
Organism: Astyanax mexicanus (Mexican tetra)
Lineage: Eukaryota; Metazoa; Chordata; Actinopteri; Characiformes; Acestrorhamphidae
Exons: 3
Source: RefSeq, a predicted model, not a curated record